RNAcentral lists this ribosomal RNA (434 nucleotides) under uncultured Lachnospiraceae bacterium. RNAcentral's name for it is "partial 16S ribosomal RNA". It matches the Rfam family "Bacterial small subunit ribosomal RNA", at positions 341 to 792 of the family's 1533-position model. The record is from RNAcentral. Lineage: Bacteria; Bacillati; Bacillota; Clostridia; Lachnospirales; Lachnospiraceae.
ACGGAAGGCAGCAGUGGGGAAUAUUGCACAAUGGGCGAAAGCCUGAUGCAGCGACGCCGCGUGAGUGAAGAAGUAUCUCGGUAUGUAAAGCUCUAUCAGCAGGGAAGAAAAUGACGGUACCUGACUAAGAAGCCCCGGCUAACUACGUGCCAGCAGCCGCGGUAAUACGUAGGGGGCAAGCGUUAUCCGGAUUUACUGGGUGUAAAGGGAGCGUAGACGGUUUGGCAAGUCUGAAGUGAAAUGCGGGGGCUCAACUCCUGAACUGCUUUGGAAACUGUCGAACUAGAGAGCAGGAGAGGUAAGUGGAAUUCCUAGUGUAGCGGUGAAAUGCGUAGAUAUUAGGAGGAACACCAGUGGCGAAGGCGGCUUACUGGACUGUAACUGACGUUGAGGCUCGAAAGCGUGGGGAGCAAACAGGAUUAGAUACCCUGGUA